GGGUUGUGAGGUUAAGCGACUAAGCGUACACGGUGGAUGCCCUGGCAGUCAGAGGCGAUGAAGGACGUGCUAAUCUGCGAUAAGCGUCGGUAAGGUGAUAUGAACCGUUAUAACCGGCGAUUUCCGAAUGGGGAAACCCAGUGUGAUUCGUCACACUAUCAUUAACUGAAUCCAUAGGUUAAUGAGGCGAACCGGGGGAACUGAAACAUCUAAGUACCCCGAGGAAAAGAAAUCAACCGAGAUUCCCCCAGUAGCGGCGAGCGAACGGGGAGCAGCCCAGAGCCUGAAUCAGUGUGUGUGUUAGUGGAAGCGUCUGGAAAGGCGCGCGAUACAGGGUGACAGCCCCGUACACAAAAAUGCACAUGCUGUGAGCUCGAUGAGUAGGGCGGGACACGUGGUAUCCUGUCUGAAUAUGGGGGGACCAUCCUCCAAGGCUAAAUACUCCUGACUGACCGAUAGUGAACCAGUACCGUGAGGGAAAGGCGAAAAGAACCCCGGCGANGGGAGUGAAAAAGAACCUGAAACCGUGUACGUACAAGCAGUGGGAGCACGCUUAGGCGUGUGACUGCGUACCUUUUGUAUAAUGGGUCAGCGACUUAUAUUCUGUAGCAAGGUUAACCGAAUAGGGGAGCCGAAGGGAAACCGAGUCUUAACUGGGCGUUAAGUUGCAGGGUAUAGACCCGAAACCCGGUGAUCUAGCCAUGGGCAGGUUGAAGGUUGGGUAACACUAACUGGAGGACCGAACCGACUAAUGUUGAAAAAUUAGCGGAUGACUUGUGGCUGGGGGUGAAAGGCCAAUCAAACCGGGAGAUAGCUGGUUCUCCCCGAAAGCUAUUUAGGUAGCGCCUCGUGAAUUCAUCUCCGGGGGUAGAGCACUGUUUCGGCAAGGGGGUCAUCCCGACUUACCAACCCGAUGCAAACUGCGAAUACCGGAGAAUGUUAUCACGGGAGACACACGGCGGGUGCUAACGUCCGUCGUGAAGAGGGAAACAACCCAGACCGCCAGCUAAGGUCCCAAAGUCAUGGUUAAGUGGGAAACGAUGUGGGAAGGCCCAGACAGCCAGGAUGUUGGCUUAGAAGCAGCCAUCAUUUAAAGAAAGCGUAAUAGCUCACUGGUCGAGUCGGCCUGCGCGGAAGAUGUAACGGGGCUAAACCAUGCACCGAAGCUGCGGCAGCGACACUAUGUGUUGUUGGGUAGGGGAGCGUUCUGUAAGCCUGUGAAGGUGUGCUGUGAGGCAUGCUGGAGGUAUCAGAAGUGCGAAUGCUGACAUAAGUAACGAUAAAGCGGGUGAAAAGCCCGCUCGCCGGAAGACCAAGGGUUCCUGUCCAACGUUAAUCGGGGCAGGGUGAGUCGACCCCUAAGGCGAGGCCGAAAGGCGUAGUCGAUGGGAAACAGGUUAAUAUUCCUGUACUUGGUGUUACUGCGAAGGGGGGACGGAGAAGGCUAUGUUGGCCGGGCGACGGUUGUCCCGGUUUAAGCGUGUAGGCUGGUUUUCCAGGCAAAUCCGGAAAAUCAAGGCUGAGGCGUGAUGACGAGGCACUACGGUGCUGAAGCAACAAAUGCCCUGCUUCCAGGAAAAGCCUCUAAGCAUCAGGUAACAUCAAAUCGUACCCCAAACCGACACAGGUGGUCAGGUAGAGAAUACCAAGGCGCUUGAGAGAACUCGGGUGAAGGAACUAGGCAAAAUGGUGCCGUAACUUCGGGAGAAGGCACGCUGAUAUGUAGGUGAAGUCCCUCGCGGAUGGAGCUGAAAUCAGUCGAAGAUACCAGCUGGCUGCAACUGUUUAUUAAAAACACAGCACUGUGCAAACACGAAAGUGGACGUAUACGGUGUGACGCCUGCCCGGUGCCGGAAGGUUAAUUGAUGGGGUCAGCGCAAGCGAAGCUCUUGAUCGAAGCCCCGGUAAACGGCGGCCGUAACUAUAACGGUCCUAAGGUAGCGAAAUUCCUUGUCGGGUAAGUUCCGACCUGCACGAAUGGCGUAAUGAUGGCCAGGCUGUCUCCACCCGAGACUCAGUGAAAUUGAACUCGCUGUGAAGAUGCAGUGUACCCGCGGCAAGACGGAAAGACCCCGUGAACCUUUACUAUAGCUUGACACUGAACAUUGAGCCUUGAUGUGUAGGAUAGGUGGGAGGCUUUGAAGUGUGGACGCCAGUCUGCAUGGAGCCGGCCUUGAAAUACCACCCUUUAAUGUUUGAUGUUCUAACGUUGACCCGUAAUCCGGGUUGCGGACAGUGUCUGGUGGGUAGUUUGACUGGGGCGGUCUCCUCCUAAAGAGUAACGGAGGAGCACGAAGGUUGGCUAAUCCUGGUCGGACAUCAGGAGGUUAGUGCAAUGGCAUAAGCCAGCUUGACUGCGAGCGUGACGGCGCGAGCAGGUGCGAAAGCAGGUCAUAGUGAUCCGGUGGUUCUGAAUGGAAGGGCCAUCGCUCAACGGAUAAAAGGUACUCCGGGGAUAACAGGCUGAUACCGCCCAAGAGUUCAUAUCGACGGCGGUGUUUGGCACCUCGAUGUCGGCUCAUCACAUCCUGGGGCUGAAGUAGGUCCCAAGGGUAUGGCUGUUCGCCAUUUAAAGUGGUACGCGAGCUGGGUUUAGAACGUCGUGAGACAGUUCGGUCCCUAUCUGCCGUGGGCGCUGGAGAACUGAGGGGGGCUGCUCCUAGUACGAGAGGACCGGAGUGGACGCAUCACUGGUGUUCGGGUUGUCAUGCCAAUGGCACUGCCCGGUAGCUAAAUGCGGAAGAGAUAAGUGCUGAAAGCAUCUAAGCACGAAACUUGCCCCGAGAUGAGUUCUCCCUGACUCCUUGAGAUCCUGAAGGAACGUUGAAGACGACGACGUUGAUAGGCCGGGUGUGUAAGCGCAGCGAUGCGUUGAGCUAACCGGUACUAAUGAACCGUGAGGCUUAACCUUACAACGCCGAAGGUGUUU
RNAcentral lists this ribosomal RNA (2929 nucleotides) under Escherichia coli. RNAcentral's name for it is "bacterial LSU rRNA". It matches the Rfam family "Bacterial large subunit ribosomal RNA". Lineage: Bacteria; Pseudomonadati; Pseudomonadota; Gammaproteobacteria; Enterobacterales; Enterobacteriaceae. The record is from RNAcentral.